GGGAAAGAAGCUACAUAGCGAUUAGCUGUUACCUAAUAGACAGUGAAUAUAUUCACCUACCCUA
Molecule: transfer RNA, 64 nt
Filed under: Quadrula quadrula (mapleleaf mussel)
Lineage: Eukaryota; Metazoa; Mollusca; Bivalvia; Unionida; Unionidae
Description: tRNA-Asn
Source: RNAcentral